Molecule: long non-coding RNA, 609 nt
Organism: Papaver somniferum (opium poppy)
Lineage: Eukaryota; Viridiplantae; Streptophyta; Magnoliopsida; Ranunculales; Papaveraceae
Exons: 3
Source: RefSeq, a predicted model, not a curated record
UUAUUAUUGGUAGUUUUCUUUCUCCCUGUCCGUCUACUCCUCAGUUUUGUCCGCCGCCUCAAAAACAAAAACCACCACAGAUCGAUCAACUGAUUAAGAAGAUCAUCGGAACAACAACAUUGAGAAGAUCGCAGCAUAAUUAUAUCUCUUCUCAAACUGGAAGGAUGAGGCUGGGUGGAUCUCCAAUACUUAGGGCACGGCAACAUGAAUUUUGAGUUGAAUGAAAGGAUGGCUGAAGCGUAAAAUAUUUUAAUUUUUCUUUGAAUGCUUUUUAAGAGAUUCAAUUAAGAAUUGAGAUAGAUUAGCUUGACAGGAGCCUCAAACUUGGUGUUGGCGUGUAUGUGGGGAUCUUAGUCCAGGCAAUGCAGCCUUUGUCAAGCUGGAUUUCGAAGGACAAACUUUCUGUACUAGAGAAGAGGUAGAUGUUAAACCUCUCUGGCACCAAACCUUCAUCUUCAACAUCAGUUCGUACCUUAGACUUCCGGACCCCUUUUAUAGCUCGAAAUAAUCCUUCAAGAGCUGCUUCUAACAUUCACUUUUAGCUCCAUUCUGGCACUUCGAGACAUUAUGGUAACAAUAGUUUUACUCCGCAUUUUAAUAUAUGUAUUU